Molecule: ribosomal RNA, 253 nt
Filed under: uncultured bacterium
Lineage: Bacteria
Description: partial 16S ribosomal RNA
Rfam family: Bacterial small subunit ribosomal RNA
Source: RNAcentral
UACGAACCGUACGAACGUUAUUCGGAUUCACUGGGCUUAAAGAGUGCGUAGGCGGCUGGGAAAGUUGGGUGUGAAAUCCCUCGGCUCAACCGAGGAAUUGCGCCCAAAACUACCUGGCUUGAGGAAGAUAGAGGUAAGCGGAACUAAUGGUGGAGCGGUGAAAUGCGUUGAUAUCAUUAGGAACACCUGUGGCGAAAGCAGCUUACUGGGUCUUAUCUGACGCUGAGGCACGAAAGCUAGGGGAGCGAACGGG